Pelobates cultripes (western spadefoot toad) is the source of this 557-nucleotide non-coding RNA. NCBI's taxonomy places the organism in Eukaryota, Metazoa, Chordata, Amphibia, Anura, Pelobatidae. The record is from the annotation of a GenBank genome assembly.
GCGGUGAAGGUGGAAGCAGCAGUGGAGGAGGAAGAUGAGGUAGCUAACACUAUAUAUAUAUAUAUAUAUAUUUUUUUUUUUUUUUUAUAUAUAUAUUUUUUUUUUAAUUGGGGUAGCCCCCAAAAUAUUGGGACAUAUAAAAAAAAGACAACUCUGUUCCGCAGAGUAUCUGUUGAGAUUAUAGUUGCACAGGCACUUUGUUGACUCUAGAGAACCUCGGGCCAAUGGCACAUCCCCGGGGCAGUGACUUUGCAUGCGGAUGUCAUCCAUAUCAGCUUUCGAUGCCAGUUUCUGCGUCUACCAUGGUGACCACGGGUAACAGGGAAUCAGGGUUCCAUUCUGUACAAGGACCCUGAAAAAUGGCUACCACAUGCAAGGAAGGCAGCAGGUGCGCAAAUGACCCACUCCCGACGCAGAAAGGUAGUGAAAACAAAUAACAAUACAGGACUCUUUAGAGGCCCUGUAAUUGUAAUGAGUCCACUUGAAAUCCUUUAACUCUGAUCAAUUAGAGGGAAGUCUGGUGCAGAGCCACUGACCCGUGAGUGCUGCAGCUGAAA